GACGAACGCUGGCGGCGUGCCUAAUACAUGCAAGUCGAACGCAUUUUCUUUCACCGUAGCUUGCUACACCGAAAGAAAAUGAGUGGCGAACGGGUGAGUAACACGUGGGUAACCUGCCCAUCAGCGGGGGAUAACACUUGGAAACAGGUGCUAAUACCGCAUAAUUCCAUUUACCGCAUGGUAGAUGGAUGAAAGGCGCUUUUGCGUCACUGAUGGAUGGACCCGCGGUGCAUUAGCUAGUGGGUGGGGUAACGGCCUACCAAGGCUGCGAUGCAUAGCCGACAUGAGAGGGUGAUCGGCCACACUGGGACUGAGACACGGCCCAGACUCCUACGGGAGGCAGCAGUAGGGAAUCUUCGGCAAUGGACGCAAGUCUGACCGAGCAACGCCGCGUGAGUGAAGAAGGUUUUCGGAUCGUAAAACUCUGUUGUUAGAGAAGAACAAGGAUGAGAGUGGAAAGUUCAUCCCUUGACGGUAUCUAACCAGAAAGCCACGGCUAACUACGUG
RNAcentral lists this ribosomal RNA (507 nucleotides) under uncultured bacterium. RNAcentral describes it as "partial 16S ribosomal RNA". It matches the Rfam family "Bacterial small subunit ribosomal RNA", at positions 28 to 507 of the family's 1533-position model. The record is from RNAcentral.